Molecule: small nuclear RNA, 107 nt
Filed under: Notamacropus eugenii (tammar wallaby)
Lineage: Eukaryota; Metazoa; Chordata; Mammalia; Diprotodontia; Macropodidae
Source: RNAcentral
GUGCUGGCUUCAGCAGCACAUUUACUAAAACUGAAAUGACAAAGAAAAGAUUAGCAUGGCCCCUGCGCAAGGAUGACACUCAAGUUCAUGAAGUGUCCUAUAUUUUU